Molecule: ribosomal RNA, 203 nt
Filed under: uncultured bacterium
Lineage: Bacteria
Description: partial 16S ribosomal RNA
Rfam family: Bacterial small subunit ribosomal RNA
Source: RNAcentral
ACGCUCGACACCUACGGGAGACAGCAGUGGGGAAUAUUGCACAAUGGGGGGAAACCCUGAUGCAGCGACGCCGCGUGAGCGAAGAAGUAUUUCGGUAUGUAAAGCUCUAUCAGCAGGGAAGAAACUGACGGUACCUGACUAAGAAGCACCGGCUAAAUACGUGCCAGCAGCCGACGGUAAUCUGAGCGGGCGUGGGCGAAGGC